RNAcentral lists this ribosomal RNA (253 nucleotides) under uncultured bacterium. RNAcentral's name for it is "partial 16S ribosomal RNA". It matches the Rfam family "Bacterial small subunit ribosomal RNA", at positions 524 to 776 of the family's 1533-position model. The record is from RNAcentral.
UACGUAGGGUGCAAGCGUUAAUCGGAAUUACUGGGCGUAAAGCGUGCGCAGGCGGUUUUGUAAGUCUGACGUGAAAUCCCCGGGCUCAACCUGGGAAUUGCGUUGGAGACUGCAAGGCUAGAAUCUGGCAGAGGGGGGUAGAAUUCCACGUGUAGCAGUGAAAUGCGUAGAGAUGUGGAGGAACACCGAUGGCGAAGGCAGCUCCCUGGGUCAAGAUUGACGCUCAUGCACGAAAGCGUGGGGAGCAAACAGG